GUCUCUUCAAAGGGUGCAUGUUUGGGAAGUGGUGUUAGUGCUCAAACAGCAAGGAGUUGCUCAGACAAGGAUGCAAAUGAGCUUUUUUAUGCUAAGUCAGUGCUAGCCACUCCCCCACCACCACCUUCCUGGCUGGGGGUGGGAGGGGGCUAAGCACAACUCAGCACUGGUGCUCAGAGCAUCUCCAAAAUGUUUGGGGCUGGGGCCUCUCUCUCCCUCCCCCCACAGGGAAAGAGGAGCAGCUCCACUGCCAGCACUACAAGGAUAUGGCCCAAUCUAAGCACAAGAAAAAUCCGGCAUCAGACGUAGACCCAAGAGCUCUGGCAACACUGACAAGUCCUGGGCAUUAGCAGACUAGGUACAAAUGAAACCCUCCAACCAGGGAGCAAAGAAUAGGCAAAGUGUGCCAAAGUGGCAGCAGUCAGCUGCUCGACAGUGCUGAAGCACCCAGUGCUGAACGGGGGCUGCCAGUGUGUCCCUCGGCACGAGGCCAGCACCAGGUUUCCUUCCCUCUCCCCUUGGUCCACUCCAGCACCCGUGAGCCCUCGGUGCACAGAAGGGAGCAGAGAGCUGGCACUGCCUCUACCGACAGCACGGGUGCUCUGCCCUAUCCUGCACCAGAGCCCAGAAAGCCUGAAUGCUCAGCACACCAGGGACAGAGAUGGAAGAAGAACAAGUGACCGGUGAGCGCAGCAUGGAGGCCUGAGGAAGCUGUGGGUCAAGGGUUGCAAUCUUUUACAGAGGGCUGUGUCUAGCUUCAGCGAGCCCCUAAGCAUCGUGGAAUUCAGGUAGCUCCAAAGCCAGCCCCAGAGCUGACUGGCUCUCCCACGGGCGGAGUGCAGUAACCAGAGGAGGAAAUCAACACAAAAUCUCAACUUAAAUCUGCUUGAGGACUUUAAAGACCGGCCGACGAGCGGGGGACCUGCCUUACGACUUCUUUGCAUCUUGUGUGUUCCUCCGCUUCAGGUCGCUCAGAUCCACGGGCUUAAACGCUUUCAGGCUGGGGUUCGGCAUCUUCUCCACGUACUCCUCGACCAGGCCGCGCUCGGAGCCCAUCUGGCUGCGCAGGUCGCGCUCCACGCACUGCCAGGCCUCGUAGAUGAAGCGCACGUUCUCCUCGUGGGCCGGCGUGAAGAUCUCGCUGCCGGCGCCGGGGGAACGCGGGCCGCCGCUCCGCUUGCCGUUGUAAACGACGCGAGACACGGGGGAGCUGGCCAUGGCGCGGUGCGUGCGGCGGCGCGGCUCGGCUCGGCGCGGCUGGGCCCGACUCCCGCCUCCGCUCGCCCUCGGGCCGCCACGGAAGCGCCGCAGCGCGCAGGCGCGGUCCCGCCCCCCGAGCCGACGCGGCCCCGCCCAGACGUCACGUGGCCCCGCCCCUCCCCGCUCUCCCCCCCCCC
This 1397-nucleotide long non-coding RNA is filed under the name Gallus gallus (chicken). The record is from RNAcentral. Lineage: Eukaryota; Metazoa; Chordata; Aves; Galliformes; Phasianidae.